Molecule: long non-coding RNA, 2371 nt
Organism: Aethalodelphis obliquidens (Pacific white-sided dolphin)
Lineage: Eukaryota; Metazoa; Chordata; Mammalia; Artiodactyla; Delphinidae
Exons: 3
Source: RefSeq, a predicted model, not a curated record
GGCUGAGUUGCUCCGCGGCAUGUGGGAUCUUCCUGGACCAGGGCUCGAACCCGUGUCCCCUGCAUUGGCAGGCGGAUUCCUAACCACUGCACCACCAGGCUUAGGAGCCUUCAGGUCACCUCGCCACAUACCAUAGCGAAGGGAUGCAUGUCCUCUACUGUUCUAGCACCAUCUCACCAUGCACUCCAUCUUCUACUGUGUAGCAAAGAAGCCCGCAGAGGAAGUUUUGUGUUUGGAGACAGAAAGUGGCAUUGAGUGCAAUGUGACAUUUCUACAACUGCUUCCUUGAGAAGGGAGAUCUGGUCCUCCAUGGGCCAGAGCAGGAAACCUGCUCUUUAGACUCUAGCCUGAACUUCAGAGAGGGAGAGGAACUCUCAGUUCUGAUUGAGACACUUAAAAGCUGGGAAUUCAAGACCUGCUACUUGAAAAGGCUGAGGGAUGGGUAAGGGGAGGUCACAUACCGAAAGGGGCAGGUCCUUGGUGAGCCUGAUGAUUUGCUGUACCAUGAAAGUGUUGAUGUCUGCGAAAUGUGUGAGCAGAGGCAGUGCAGGGAACUGGGUGGACAGCGCUGGUGAUGGAGGAACAGAUGAGCUGGAGGCUGCAGAGAUCAGAGCCUGGGUGAGAGGCCCCGGUCCCAGGGAUCUCUUUUAGGCCUCUCCAGCUUUAUCUUGGAAGGGUUCCGGGCUAAGGAGUCUGCCUCGGCUGGGGUUCUGGAGAAGUCCUGUCCUCUAUUGGUGCGUGGCACACGGCCCCCUCCCUCAGGCCAGCCUCCUUGGGCACUCUUUUGGUCAUAUUUCAGCUUGAAUCCUGGAAAUGCUCUCCCUGAACUGCACGAACUGGUCAAACAUGGCGCCCACGUGGCAAACUUGGGCCCCCAGCAGUGUCUGGAGUAGCUCUUUCUCCUCAGCUGCAUCGAUGCGUGCCGUGCCCGCCGCUGGGCCUGUCUUGCUUACCGCAACGCCCGGGCUUCUGCCGAUGCGAUCAUUGUGCCUGGGGAAGGGAUGUGACAAAACUAUUGAGACUAGCAGAGAGCACCUUCCUCUGUCAGCCCCUGGUCUGGGGCCCUCGGACACUGCGUAAUGAAGGACGCGGGGAGGGAGGAGAGUUCUUGAGGCCUCCUUGGGCUUGGCUGAAGUCCCAGGGGCUCCAGGUGGUAGGGGAUUCCUGUACACUUUCCCCGCCCUGUGAGGCACUGCAGCAGAAAACAAUGCACUGUGGGAAGGAAAAAAAGGAUGGACAAUAAAGUGGGAAUAGUAUAAGGAGAUGUUUGACUUCUGGGGGAGCACUGAAGAGGGAGGGCUUGUGAUACCAAAAACAUCACCCUAUGUUUGCAUAGCUUUGUAAUUUCAAAGCUUCUGAGGUUAAGUCUCACUGAAUGAAACAAUCCUGUGGGUGGAGAGGGCAGGUGUUAUUAUCCAUAUUUUUCAGAAACAGACUGACAUUCCAGUGACAGGUCCAAGGUCACAAAAUACUUAACGUGAUGUAGACUGAAUUCAAGAUUUUUUGACUUCUACAGUUUCCUUUCCACUGCUCCAUAUUGAAAAGCAGUGUGACGUCAUGGAGAAAGCAAGGGUCUGGUGAAUACUGACUCUACAACUCUUCAGCCGAGUGGACUUGGACAAGUUGAUUUCUGUUACUUUAAGUUGAGUAUGAGUUACAUUAUCUUUUGGGGGCAGAGCCUUAUUACCUGGCACAGAGAAAAAAACAUUAAAUAAUUCAACAAUUAUCAAGUACCUACUAAGUGACAGGCACUAUAUUUGAGAGAUGGAAGAGUAAAAUAAAGCCAUAUAAAUAUCUAGGGGAAGAGCAUUCCAGGUAGAGGCAAUGGCGAGUGCAAGUAUAAGUUACAACAGUCUUGAGAAGAGUGUGCUUGGUGUGUUUGAGAAUGGCAUUGACAUCAGUGUGGCUGGGAUGGGUUGAGCAAGGGGAAGAGUAGGAAGUGAAAUCUGAGAGGUGGUAUGGAGGAGCUGGCCCAUGAGAUCAUGGACCAUAAGAGAGAGGAGGAGCCCUUGGAGGUUUUGAGCAGAAUAGUGACAUCGUCUGACUUGUUUCACAAAGCUUACUCUGCCUGCCCUGUGGAGAAUACGCUGUGGGAACAAGGGCAAAGCAUAGUCAGUGGAGGGACGUAGUGGAUUCUCAGGAUGGAAAGGGGCCAACUCACUGUCCUUCUUCAUGCCAGCAUCUAGGCACUUCUGCAACCUGCAGGCUGGGCCUUGUUGACCUUCCAGCUUCCAGCAAAGGGGCACGUGAGACCGGUGCUUUUGCUGACUGUUCGCCUGAGAGGACAGAGACAUUGUGAGGGUUGGGGAUGGCAGCGAGCAGCACUGUUUACAAUAGCCAAGGCAUGGAAGCAACCUAAAUGUCCAUCGAC